Molecule: ribosomal RNA, 468 nt
Filed under: uncultured bacterium
Lineage: Bacteria
Description: partial 16S ribosomal RNA
Rfam family: Bacterial small subunit ribosomal RNA
Source: RNAcentral
GACGAACGCUGGCGGCGUGCUUAACACAUGCAAGUCGAACGGAAAGGCCCUGCUUUUGUGGGGUGCUCGAGUGGCGAACGGGUGAGUAACACGUGAGUAACCUGCCCUUGACUUUGGGAUAACUUCAGGAAACUGGGGCUAAUACCGGAUAGGAGCUCCUGCUGCAUGGUGGGGGUUGGAAAGUUUCGGCGGUUGGGGAUGGACUCGCGGCUUAUCAGCUUGUUGGUGGGGUAGUGGCUUACCAAGGCUUUGACGGGUAGCCGGCCUGAGAGGGUGACCGGCCACAUUGGUCCUGAGAUACGGCCCAGACUCGUACGGGAGGCAGCAGUGGGGAAUAUUGCACAAUGGGCGGAAGCCUGAUGCAGCAACGCCGCGUGCGGGAUGACGGCAUUCGGGUUGUAAACCGCUUCCGCCUGUGACGAAGCGUGAGUGACGGUAAUGGGUAAAGAAGCCCCGGCUAACUACGUG